Molecule: regulatory RNA element, 80 nt
Organism: Advenella mimigardefordensis DPN7
Lineage: Bacteria; Pseudomonadati; Pseudomonadota; Betaproteobacteria; Burkholderiales; Alcaligenaceae
Rfam family: Alpha operon ribosome binding site
About the family: The bacterial alpha operon ribosome binding site is surrounded by this complex pseudoknotted structure. Translation of the mRNA produces 4 ribosomal protein products, one of which (S4) acts as a translational repressor by binding to the nested pseudoknot region. The mechanism of repression is thought to involve a conformational switch in the pseudoknot region and ribosome entrapment.
Source: Rfam
GCAGCGCCAGGGUUAAUCCUGACGCAUCGAUUUAACGAGGAACAGACAUGGCCCGUAUAGCUGGCAUUAACAUUCCGCCG